This 428-nucleotide ribosomal RNA is filed under the name uncultured bacterium. RNAcentral describes it as "partial 16S ribosomal RNA". It matches the Rfam family "Bacterial small subunit ribosomal RNA", at positions 354 to 796 of the family's 1533-position model. The record is from RNAcentral.
GUAGGGAAUAUUGCGCAAUGGACGAAAGUCUGACGCAGCGACGCCGCGCGAGUGAUGAAGGCCUUAGGGUCGUAAAGCUCUGUUGAAUGGGAAGAAAAAAAUGACGGUACCAUUCGAGGAAGGACCGGCUAACUUCGUGCCAGCAGCCGCGGUAAUACGAGGGGUCCUAGCGUUGUUCGGAAUCAUUGGGCGUAAAGGGUGUGUAGGUGGCCAUGUAAGUCAGGUGUGAAAGCCCCGGGCUCAACCCGGGAAGUGCACUUGAUACUGCGUGGCUUGAGUACCGAAGAGGGUAGUGGAAUUCCAGGUGUAGUGGUGAAAUACGUAGAUAUCUGGAGGAACACCGGUGGCGAAGGCGGCUACCUGGUCGAGUACUGACACUGAGACACGAAAGCAUGGGGAUCAAACAGGAUUAGAAACCCGUGUAGUCC